UAGUCCACGCCGUAAACGAUGGAUACUAGCUGUCCGGCGCACAUUGGUGCGCUGGGUGGCCAAGCGAAAGUGAUAAGUAUCCCACCUGGGGAGUACGUUCGCAAGAAUGAAACUCAAAGGGAAUUGACGGGGGCCCGCACAAGCGGUGGAGCAUGUGGUUUAAUUCGAUGAUACGCGAGGAACCUUACCAGGGCUUAAAUGUAGUCUGACAGGGGUGGAAACACCCUUUUCUUCGGACAGAUUACAAGGUGUUGCAUGGUUGUCGUCAGCUCGUGCCGUGAGGUGUCAGGUUAAGUCCUAUAACGAGCGCAACCCCUGUUGUUAGUUGCCAGCGAGUCAAGUCGGGAACUCGUAACAGACUGCCGGUGCAAACCGUGAGGGAAGGUGGGGAUGGACGUCAAAUCAUCACGGCCCUUACGUCCUGGGGCCACACACGUGCUACAAUGGGCAGGGUACAA
This 458-nucleotide ribosomal RNA is filed under the name uncultured bacterium. RNAcentral's name for it is "bacterial SSU rRNA". It matches the Rfam family "Bacterial small subunit ribosomal RNA", at positions 791 to 1244 of the family's 1533-position model. The record is from RNAcentral.